GGCAGUUUAAUUGAGGUUGAGAAAACUCUCAAAAAGCCGUAUUUCCAGAAAUAAUGAAGGUUCUCCGUCUUCUCUAUUCUUAAGGUUUAUGAAACCUAGAAGUCAAGACUUCUAUUUUAGGACUUAUUAAUAUAAAGGGUUAGAUCCCAAUUUACCCAAAACUUUAGGAACCCAUCAGCCCCUCAGAUCUGAGGCCAGCUGUUCCUUAGAGGACUAAAGGCCAAUGUUCAACACCUCCCUAUGCUGGGGCCGUCAGAUUUAGCUCAUCAUCAUUAUCAUCAUCAUCAUCCUCAAACACAUUCAAAUGUGUUGCAAGGCACACUUAUAAUAAAAAAUUACUCACUGCUUAUCUGACAUUCAAAUUUAACUGGGCACCCUGUAUUUUAUCUGACAACCUUACCCCAAGCACACAUACCUCAGCCUUUCUUUCUAGGAAGCUUUCAUAAAGACACCCAUUGAAUGGUUCAUGAAAACCUCCAGCUUCAGGCAUUAGUGGUGCAAAAGCUUAGAUCUUUGAUUUCUUAGCACCACAGGAAAGGGGAAUGGCAUUUUUCAGGGCUUCCAAUUUGCUAACUCAAGCAGAAACUCUGAAUUCAGAAUCUACAUUGACUCUCAGCUGUGUCCCUUGAUCCUUGAUCUUCAGGCUGGAUCCUGUUGCCAGCAGCAACUCCAGGAGCAGGAGGAUUCUGCAUCAGUCACAGACCAGCCCAGAGGAAGAAACAGUUAAUUUAUCUGAACUUUGGUUUCCCUUUCCCAUGGGAACCUAGAGAAGGACUUUCCCUAUAUUCCCCACCUCUUUGGGCUUCAGCAAAAGAAAAUGGACCUCAAGGGAGUCUUCAAGAGCUGCUUCAAAAUUUACUGUUCAUCAAAGCACUUGCUGAAGACUGGCUUCGUUUCAGAGGCUGUGCUGAGUGUUACGGAGAAGGAGGUGAAGGAGAUAAGGUGCUUACCAUGAAGGAGAGGUGGCCGCAUGAAUGCAUCGUUUUAAUACAGUGCAAUAAGUGAGCUACACUCCCUUCAAUGAGGCUCAGAACUUAAUUUCCGACGAUGUAAUUCCCGCCUCAGAAGAUUCUAGUGUGUCACAGUGGGAUCACAAUGCUACCUUAAAGAUUUUCCUCGUGAAACUGGAAUAGAAUUUUCGCCUUCUAUUUUUAUGUUUGAAACAUGUUAACAUUUUUAAAAAUUGCCUUUCUUGUUGGCGUUUUUAUUGAUUCUUUCC
RNAcentral lists this long non-coding RNA (1219 nucleotides) under Pan troglodytes (chimpanzee). RNAcentral describes it as "lncRNA (ENSPTRG00000054565.1)". Lineage: Eukaryota; Metazoa; Chordata; Mammalia; Primates; Hominidae. The record is from RNAcentral.